Molecule: ribosomal RNA, 498 nt
Filed under: uncultured bacterium
Lineage: Bacteria
Description: partial 16S ribosomal RNA
Rfam family: Bacterial small subunit ribosomal RNA
Source: RNAcentral
GAUGAACGCUAGCUACAGGCUUAACACAUGCAAGUCGAGGGGUAGCAGGGUAGCAAUACCGCUGACGACCGGCGCACGGGUGAGUAACACGUAUCCAACCUUCCCAUAACUCGGGGAUAGCCUUUCGAAAGAAAGAUUAAUACCCGAUAGUCCUUAACAAAGGCAUCUUUGAUAAGUUAAAGAUUUAUUGGUUAUGGAUGGGGAUGCGUUCCAUUAGAUAGUUGGUGAGGUAACGGCUCACCAAGUCUUCGAUGGAUAGGGGUUCGGAGAGGAAGGUCCCCCACAUUGGUACUGAGACACGGACCAAACUCCUACGGGAGGCAGCAGUGAGGAAUAUUGGUCAAUGGGCGAGAGCCUGAACCAGCCAAGUAGGGUGAAGGAUGAAGGUCCUAUGGAUUGUAAACUUCUUUUAUAGUAGAAUAAAGUGAUCCACGUGUGGAUUUUUGUAUGUAUACUAUGAAUAAGGAUCGGCUAACUCCGUGCCAGCAGCCGCCGUAA